UUAGCAUGGAAUAAUGGAAUAGGACGCGCGUUCCCAUUUUGUUGGUUUCUGAGAUCGCCGUAAUGAUUAAUAGGGAUAGUUGGGGGCAUUUGUAUUCCGUCGUCAGAGGUGAAAUUCUUGGAUUGCCGGAAGACAAACUAUUGCGAAAGCAUUUGCCAAGGAUGUUUUCAUUGAUCAAGAACGAAGGAAGGGGGAUCGAAAACGAUCAGAUACCGUUGUAGUCUCUUCUGUAAACUAUGCCAAUUGGGGAUUAGAUCAGGAUUUUUAAUGACUGAUUUAGCACCCGAAGAGAAAUCUUUAAAUGAGGUUCGGGGGGGAGUAUGGUCGCAAGGCUGAAACUUAAAGGAAUUGACGGAAGGGCACCACCAGGUGUGGAGCCUGCGGCUUAAUUUGACUCAACACGGGGAAACUCACCAGGUCCAGACACAAUAAGGAUUGACAGAUUGAUAGCUCUUUCUUGAUCUUGUGGUUGGUGGUGCAUGGCCGUUCUUAGUUGGUGGAGUGAUUUGUCUGGUUAAUUCCGAUAACGAACGAGACCUUAACCUGCUAAAUAGACCAGCCGGCUUUGGCUGGCUGCUGUCUUCUUAGAGGGACUAUCAGCGUUUAGCUGAUGGAAGUUUGAGGCAAUAACAGGUCUGUGAUGCCCUUAGAUGUUCUGGGCCGCACGCGCGCUACACUGACAGAGCCAGCGAGUCUACCACCUUGGCCGGAAGGCCUGGGUAAUCUUGUGAAACUCUGUCGUGAUGGGGAUAGAACAUUGCAAUUAUUGUUCUUCAACGAGGAAUACCUAGUAAGCGUGAGUCAUCAGCUCGCGUUGAUUACGUCCCUGCCCUUUGUACACACCGCCCGUCGCUACUACCCGAUUGGAAUGGCU
Molecule: ribosomal RNA, 874 nt
Filed under: uncultured fungus
Lineage: Eukaryota; Fungi
Description: SSU rRNA
Rfam family: Eukaryotic small subunit ribosomal RNA
Source: RNAcentral